UAAGGAAUAUUGGUCAAUGGACGCAAGUCUGAACCAGCCAUGCCGCGUGAAGGAUGAAGGUCCUCUGGAUUGUAAACUUCUUUUAUCUGGGACGAAAACGGGAUUUUUAUCUCAAUUGACGGUACCAGAGGAAUAAGCACCGGCUAACUCCGUGCCAGCAGCCGCGGUAAUACGGAGGGUGCGAGCGUUAUCCGGAUUUACUGGGUUUAAAGGGUGCGUAGGUGGGCUUAUAAGUCAGUGGUGAAAUCUCCGAGCUUAACUUGGAAACUGCCGUUGNUACUAUAGUUCUUGAAUUAUCUGGAGGUAAGCGGAAUAUGUCAUGUAGCGGUGAAAUGCUUAGAUAUGACAUAGAACACCAAUUGCGAAGGCAGCUUACUACAUAUAAAUUGACGCUGAGGCACGAAAGCGUGGGGAUCAAACA
Molecule: ribosomal RNA, 421 nt
Filed under: uncultured bacterium
Lineage: Bacteria
Description: bacterial SSU rRNA
Rfam family: Bacterial small subunit ribosomal RNA
Source: RNAcentral